AUUGAACGCUGGCGGCAUGCCUUACACAUGCAAGUCGAACGGUAACAGGUCUUCGGAUGCUGACGAGUGGCGAACGGGUGAGUAAUACAUCGGAACGUGCCCGAUCGUGGGGGAUAACGAAGCGAAAGCUUUGCUAAUACCGCAUAAGAUCUACGGAUGAAAGCAGGGGACCGCAAGGCCUUGCGCGAACGGAGCGGCCGAUGGCAGAUUAGGUAGUUGGUGGGAUAAAAGCUUACCAAGCCGACGAUCUGUAGCUGGUCUGAGAGGACGACCAGCCACACUGGGACUGAGACACGGCCCAGACUCCUACGGGAGGCAGCAGUGGGGAAUUUUGGACAAUGGGCGAAAGCCUGAUCCAGCCAUGCCGCGUGCAGGAUGAAGGCCUCCGGGUUGUAAACUGCUUUUGUACGGAACGAAAAGACUCUGGUUAAUACCUGGGGUCCAUGACGGUACCGUAAGAAUAAGCACCGGCUAACUACGUG
RNAcentral lists this ribosomal RNA (482 nucleotides) under uncultured bacterium. Its description in RNAcentral is "partial 16S ribosomal RNA". It matches the Rfam family "Bacterial small subunit ribosomal RNA", at positions 30 to 507 of the family's 1533-position model. The record is from RNAcentral.